GAUGAACGCUGGCGGCGUGCCUAAUACAUGCAAGUCGAGCGAACAGACCAGGCUCUUGCUCCUCUGACGUUUGCGGCGGACGGGUGAGUCACACGUGGAUCCCCUCCCUAUCUGACUGGGAUCACUUCGGGAAACCGGAGCUAAUACCGUAUAAUAUAUUGAACCGCGUGGUUCAAUAGUGAAAUACGGCUUUGCUGUCACUUCUAGCUGGAUCCGCGCCGCAUUAGCUAGUUGUUACGUUAACGGCCUACCAAGGCAACGAUGCGUAGACGACCUGAUGGGGUGAUCGGCCACCCGGGAACUGAGACACGGUCAAGAGGCCUACGAGAGGCAGCAGUAGGGAAUGUUAGGCAAUAGGCGAGAGCAUGACGGAGCAACGGCGCGUGAGAGAUGAAGGUGUCCGGAUCGGAAAACUCUGUUAUGAGGGAAGAACCAAUGUGUAAGUAACUAUGCACGUCUUGACGGUACCGAAUAAGAAAGCAACGGCUAACUACGUG
This 497-nucleotide ribosomal RNA is filed under the name uncultured bacterium. RNAcentral's name for it is "partial 16S ribosomal RNA". It matches the Rfam family "Bacterial small subunit ribosomal RNA", at positions 28 to 507 of the family's 1533-position model. The record is from RNAcentral.